This 76-nucleotide transfer RNA is filed under the name Candidatus Berkelbacteria bacterium. RNAcentral's name for it is "tRNA-Pro". It matches the Rfam family "tRNA". From Rfam's summary of the family: Transfer RNA (tRNA) molecules are approximately 80 nucleotides in length. Their secondary structure includes four short double-helical elements and three loops (D, anti-codon, and T loops). Lineage: Bacteria; Candidatus Berkelbacteria. The record is from RNAcentral.
CGGGGAUUGGCGCAGUUGGUAGCGCGCGUGCUUUGGGAGCACGAGGUCGCCAGUUCGAGUCUGGCAUCCCCGACCA